UGGGGAAUUUUGGACAAUGGGCGAAAGCCUGAUCCAGCAAUGCCGCGUGUGUGAAGAAGGCCUUCGGGUUGUAAAGCACUUUUGUCCGGAAAGAAAUCCUUGGCUCUAAUACAGUCGGGGGAUGACGGUACCGGAAGAAUAAGCACCGGCUAACUACGUGCCAGCAGCCGCGGUAAUACGUAGGGUGCAAGCGUUAAUCGGAAUUACUGGGCGUAAAGCGUGCGCAGGCGGUUUGCUAAGACCGAUGUGAAAUCCCCGGGCUCAACUGGGAACUGCAUUGGUGACUGGCAGGCUAGAGUAUGGCAGAGGGGGGUAGAAUUCCACGUGUAGCAGUGAAAUGCGUAGAGAUGUGGAGGAAUACCGAUGGCGAAGGCAGCCCCCUGGGCCAAUACUGACGCUCAUGCACGAAAGCGUGGGGAGCAAACAGGAUUAGAUACCCUGGUAGUCCACGCCCUAAACGAUGUCAACUAGUUGUUGGGGAUUCAUUUCCUUAGUAACGUAGCUAACGCGUGAAGUUGACCGCCUGGGGAGUACGGUCGCAAGAUU
This 546-nucleotide ribosomal RNA is filed under the name uncultured bacterium. Its description in RNAcentral is "partial 16S ribosomal RNA". It matches the Rfam family "Bacterial small subunit ribosomal RNA", at positions 355 to 895 of the family's 1533-position model. The record is from RNAcentral.